RNAcentral lists this ribosomal RNA (406 nucleotides) under uncultured bacterium. RNAcentral's name for it is "partial 16S ribosomal RNA". It matches the Rfam family "Bacterial small subunit ribosomal RNA", at positions 29 to 526 of the family's 1533-position model. The record is from RNAcentral.
AUUGAACGCUGGCGGCAGGCCUAACACAUGCAAGUCGAACGAGUGGCGGACGGGUGAGUAAUGUCUGGGAAACUGCCCGAUGGAGGGGGCUAACUACUGGAAACGGUAGCUAAUACCGCAUACCAUCGGAUGUGCCCAGAUGGGAUUAGCUAGUAGGUGGGGUAACGGCUCACCUAGGCGACGAUCCCUAGCUGGUCUGAGAGGAUGACAGGCAACACUGUAAAUGAGACACGGGCCAGAUUCCUACGGGAGGAAGCAGUGGGGAAUAGUGCACAAUGGGCGCAAGCCUGAUGCAGCCAUGCGGGGUGUAUGAAGAGGGCCGUCGGGUUGUAAAGUACGUUCAGCGAGGAGGCGUGACUCGCAGAAGAAGCACCGGCUAACGCCGUGCCAGCAGACGCGGUAAUUC